Molecule: non-coding RNA, 31 nt
Filed under: Homo sapiens (human)
Lineage: Eukaryota; Metazoa; Chordata; Mammalia; Primates; Hominidae
Source: RNAcentral
UGGGUAAUGGUGACAUUGUGGGCUCACGGCA